AGCCACCCCACUCCAUCUCAUGUCAACCCAAUCAACUUCAAAAGUCAAGAUUUAGUCAUGCUUGGCAGCCACCAACUCCCCUAAUUUCAGCCCUCAAAUAUCUCUGCAUAAUUGAAGGAAACCCAUCCUUUGCACUUUCACUAGCAACUCAAAUAUCCUUCAAAUUACUCUCUCGUUCCAGCCUAUCCAUGGAGUUUCAAGUAUACAACAAGAGACCACCAUUCAAAGAACUCUUCCCCUACACAGACAUCACAAGGUGUUUACCUCAAUUUACUUUGCCUCUGUUUCAAGCACACACAGCUAUCUCGUUUGUACAGAACACCAACCAAGAUUUCAAUAUUUUCAUAACAAAUUCACAAGCAUGACAAAUUAUUUACAUAAAUGCAUACAAUCUGUAUACAUGUUUAUUCAUAGUCUG
Molecule: long non-coding RNA, 418 nt
Filed under: Salvia miltiorrhiza (redroot sage)
Lineage: Eukaryota; Viridiplantae; Streptophyta; Magnoliopsida; Lamiales; Lamiaceae
Description: long non-coding RNA (SMIL_LNC010588)
Source: RNAcentral